This 432-nucleotide ribosomal RNA is filed under the name Triticum aestivum (bread wheat). RNAcentral's name for it is "partial small subunit ribosomal RNA". Lineage: Eukaryota; Viridiplantae; Streptophyta; Magnoliopsida; Poales; Poaceae. The record is from RNAcentral.
AUGCUAGUUAGUGCUUUUUCAGAUGCAGACUGGCCAGGCUGUCCUGAUGACAGGAGGUCAAUAGGAGGCUUUGCAGUAUUCCUUGGAGGUAAUUUGAUAUCCUGGUGUGCUCGCAAGCAACCUACUGUUUCUCGGUCCAGUACAGAAGCUGAGUACAAGGCAUUAGCCAAUGCUACUGCUGAAAUUAUUUGGGUCCAACAUUUGCUGACAGAACUGGGUGUUCAUCAUCCAAAAGCUGCAUCGCUCUGGUGUGAUAAUCUUGGUGCCACAUACCUAUUUGCUAAUCCUAUAUUUCAUGCCAGGACAAAAUAUAUUGAAAUUGACUAUCAUUUUGUUCGUGAACGGGUGGCUGAAAAAUUGUUGAAUAUAAGGUUUAUACCCACUGGUGAUCAAGUUGAGGAUGGAUUCACUAAGCCACUUACUUUGCAAUAG